This 530-nucleotide long non-coding RNA is filed under the name Rattus norvegicus (Norway rat). RNAcentral describes it as "long non-coding RNA NONRATT015251". Lineage: Eukaryota; Metazoa; Chordata; Mammalia; Rodentia; Muridae. The record is from RNAcentral.
GUAAGAUCCUAGAUGGACACUUUGUUUCUCCCAUGGCCCACUAUGUGCCUGGUAUCAUGCCAAUUGAGUCUGUUAUUGCAAGGUUCCAGUUUAUCGUCCCUAAAGAAUGGAACAGCAGAUACAGACCUGUGUGCAUUCAUCUGGCUGGAACAGGAGACCAUGUAAGGCUUGUGACUUCAUAGGAUUUCAAACCUAGAAAACUCUUAGCACUUCUCCUCCGCAUGUGCCUGUCAUAUUGUUAAUGUGUCAUCUCUUCUUUCCAUAGCAUUAUUGGAGGCGCAGAACGCUCAUGGCUCGUCCCAUGAUUAAGGAGGCCAGAAUGGCUUCAUUGUUGCUAGAAAACCCUUAUUAUAUCCUUUUGUGAUACUUAAAACAUUUCUUUCUCUCUUUGUUUAUAUAUUUACUCUUCAAAAGAAGAACAUCCGGUGCUCUCAGCCAAUGAGCCAUCUCUCCAGCUCCCAUGGUAACUAACUUUUCAAAACUAGUUAAAUCCAGUUAUCAGUUCAGAAAAUUAUUAAAAAGCAAGAAUG